UAAAUACUCCCUCUCUCCGGAAAUACUUGUUGGAUAAAUGCAUAAAUAUGGAUGUAUCUAGAACUAAAAUACGUCUAGAUACAUCCAUUCCUCCGACAAGUAUUUCCGGACGGAGGGAGUAUUUG
This is a non-coding RNA of Triticum aestivum (bread wheat), 125 nucleotides long. The record is from Rfam. Lineage: Eukaryota; Viridiplantae; Streptophyta; Magnoliopsida; Poales; Poaceae.